AUUAGAACUUACAAGAUAGAUUGGUCCUUCGGGAACUCAAUACAGGUGGCUGCAUGGCUGUCGUCAGCUCGUGUCGUGAGAUGUUGGGUUAAGUCCCGCAACGAGCGCAACCCUUUUCCUUAGUUUGCCAGCAUNAUUAUGGCGGAGCAACUACUUAGGAGAUUAGCUGGCCUAGAGCACAANGCUCGGGAGAGGAGAUGGUGGAGCGAACGGAUCCGUACAAUCAUUCNAUUCAGUCGCGCUCCUUUAACCGNUCCAGGNACUAACACAGUCGUUGACUAACAAGUGNGUCUGAGUAACAAGAGUGCGUUGCUACCUGACGACGAGUAGAGAGUUGACAUAACUCUCAAAAAACC
RNAcentral lists this ribosomal RNA (356 nucleotides) under uncultured bacterium. RNAcentral's name for it is "partial 16S ribosomal RNA". The stretch from base 1 to 221 matches the Rfam family "Bacterial small subunit ribosomal RNA", at positions 992 to 1205 of the family's 1533-position model. The record is from RNAcentral.